This 456-nucleotide long non-coding RNA is filed under the name Pan troglodytes (chimpanzee). Its description in RNAcentral is "lincRNA". Lineage: Eukaryota; Metazoa; Chordata; Mammalia; Primates; Hominidae. The record is from RNAcentral.
CCCAGUCGCCGCCGCUUUUUACCACCGCGACAUUUUGCCCCCGCCGCCGAGGAUUUUUGUCCCCGCCGCCGCGGCUCUGAGGGCGGGAGCGGCAGACUCGGCUGCCAGCUCUACUGGCGUCCUGGCAAGGGCAGCGCCGAGGGGUGCUCCUGGCCAGCUCUCCUGGCUCAGGGAUUCCUUGCCUAGGCGCCGGCGCCCCGGGCUCCUUGCCUAGGCCCCUGUGGCCUGCAUAGAGCGGCGCUGCCUGCGGAGGCGAUGGGAGAGAAGAAGGAGGGCGGUGGUGGGGGUGAUGCGGCGGCCACGGAGGGUGGCACAGGGGCUGCGGCCAGCCGGGCGCUGCAGCAGUGCGGGCAGCUCCAGAAGCUCAUCGUCAUCUUCAUUGGCAGCCUGAGCGGGCUGUGCACCAAGUGCGCUGUGUCCAACGACCUCACCCAGCAGGAGAUACAGACCCUGGAG